UACGGAGGGUGCGAGCGUUGUCCGGAAUCACUGGGCGUAAAGGGCUCGUAGGCGGCCAACUAAGUCAGACGUGAAAUCCCUCAGCUUAACUGGGGAACUGCGUCUGAUACUGGAUGGCUUGGAUUCGGGAGAGGAAUGCGGAAUUCCAGGUGUAGCGGUGAAAUGCGUAGAUAUCUGGAGGAACACCGGUGGCGAAGGCGGCAUUCUGGACCGAUAUUGACGCUGAGGAGCGAAAGCCAGGGGAGCAAACGGG
This 253-nucleotide ribosomal RNA is filed under the name uncultured bacterium. Its description in RNAcentral is "partial 16S ribosomal RNA". It matches the Rfam family "Bacterial small subunit ribosomal RNA", at positions 524 to 776 of the family's 1533-position model. The record is from RNAcentral.